RNAcentral lists this ribosomal RNA (460 nucleotides) under uncultured bacterium. RNAcentral describes it as "partial 16S ribosomal RNA". It matches the Rfam family "Bacterial small subunit ribosomal RNA", at positions 338 to 795 of the family's 1533-position model. The record is from RNAcentral.
CCUACGGGUGGCAGCAGUGAGGAAUAUUGGUCAAUGGACGAGAGUCUGAACCAGCCAAGUCGCGUGAAGGAUGACUGCCCUAUGGGUUGUAAACUUCUUUUAUACGGGAAUAAACUCUUCCACGUGUGUCUUUUUGUAUGUACCCUAUGAAUAAGGAUCGGCUAACUCCGUGCCAGCAGCCGCGGUAAUACGGAGGAUCCGAGCGUUAUCCGGAUUUAUUGGGUUUAAAGGGUGCGUAGGUGGUUUGUUAAGUCAGUUGUGAAAGUUCGCGGCUCAACCGUAAAAUUGCAGUUGAAACUGGAAGGCUAGAGUGCAGUAGAGGUAGGCGGAAUUUGUGGUGUAGCGGUGAAAUGCUUAGAUAUCACGAAGAACUCCGAUUGCGAAGGCAGCUCACCGGACUGCAACUGACACUGAGGCACGAAAGUGUGGGUAUCAAACAGGAUUAGAUACCCCAGUAGUC